GUAGAAGUACACUUAUAUUUCAGUAUUCAAUGAUACUCUGUUCAUGGUGACGAAAUUCACACUAGUAAUCAAUGCUGGAAAUUCCUUAGAGUCAGUCCAACACAUGCUAUUGUAUUUAAUAAUUGGAUUGUGUAUUCAAGGUCAUGCGCUCUUCAUCAUAUGCAGAUACUUACAGAGAAAUUAAACCACCACAAUAAUAUAACUACAAUAUUGUAUGUUUUUCCUGGGGCACAUGGAGCAAAAUGAGAAAAAACAAUCAUAUGGCUCUCAAAUGGAUUUUCCUUCACACGCAGUCAAAAUAUGUCACCGCUCAUUUUUGUGCAAGUUUUUCAAGUUCUGAAGAUUAUGAGUUGAGAAGAAAUGACAGCAGUGGCCUUGGAAAUUGGUUGGAAGACAUGCAAAGAUGUGGUGAUGAUGUAAAUGAAGGCAAGCUUUCUCAUGCAUAAAGAGUUUCUGUCAAUGGGGAUCUCUUAACAGAGUUGCAGGCUCCCCAAGGUUCACCAAAAGAAGAAAACAGCACAGAAAGAUAAAGAAGAAAGGAAGGAUGGAUGCUCCUGCAACCUGAAGACUGGACCAAGAGGCAGCAGAUCUGGAGUGAGCUUUCAUAUUUGCCACAGAGCUCUUAUGUAAGUUUGGAAUGGUCUCUUAGAUGCUGAGCCAGUAAUAUUAACUCAGCACAUCCCACUGACUUCAGUUUCUGGCAAGACUUGAAUCACACAUGACAUCCUAAACUACCAAAUUUUUUCCUGUUACUCUAGCCACGCUACAUAGAAUAAAGCUUUCUUUUACCUAAGAUAA
Molecule: long non-coding RNA, 798 nt
Filed under: Gallus gallus (chicken)
Lineage: Eukaryota; Metazoa; Chordata; Aves; Galliformes; Phasianidae
Description: lncRNA (ENSGALG00010021442.1)
Source: RNAcentral